GGGAGCUUGAACUGUCAACCCUCUAGAUCUAACUAUCCAAGCCGUGUUGCAUCCUCUCUUUUCAAUCCGGGAUCCGGAGGUGCCUCUCUUUCCAACCUCUAAAUGAGUCAUGGUCAAAUCUUCAAGUACAGGGCAGCGAGAUCGAAGAAGAAAGGUUUUCCAUGGGUUCAUCUUGAUGAGCUUCAAUAUGGAGGAACUUGAGACUUGGGAGAUAUUCGGAUCAUAAUAUCUAUGAUCCUAUGGUUUCCCAAGUCUCACGUUCCACCAUAUGUCUUGAUUCAUCCCUUUCAGAUAAUGAAUCAAUGGAAAUCCUUGUUUUUCUCACUGCCCUCUACCUGAAGAUUUGAUUAUGACUCUCUUGGAGCCUUUCAAGGCCUUCUAGCUGACCCAGAGCGUCAUCACUCAUCACCCUGACCAUUCGUAGCACCAUGGUUUACUUUGGAUAAGAACAAAAGUAUAGUCGAAUAACUUGUUGUAUAUAUUGGAAUUUUCCUGGGCUGUACUAUUCGCUGUGUUAAUUGACUGUUGGUUGAGCUAACAUGUGAGCAACCUGCUUCAAUUGCAUAUCGAUCAGUUGUAAGAAAUUUGAAGCAUUUAUUUGGUAACCAAGUGAACUAAUGUAGC
This 624-nucleotide long non-coding RNA is filed under the name Rosa chinensis. RNAcentral describes it as "sRNA RchiOBHm_Chr4g0445891". Lineage: Eukaryota; Viridiplantae; Streptophyta; Magnoliopsida; Rosales; Rosaceae. The record is from RNAcentral.